UACUCAUUGAAACGUACGGGCCUCCUAA
This 28-nucleotide non-coding RNA is filed under the name Bombyx mori (domestic silkworm). Lineage: Eukaryota; Metazoa; Arthropoda; Insecta; Lepidoptera; Bombycidae. The record is from RNAcentral.